This 254-nucleotide ribosomal RNA is filed under the name uncultured bacterium. RNAcentral describes it as "partial 16S ribosomal RNA". It matches the Rfam family "Bacterial small subunit ribosomal RNA", at positions 524 to 776 of the family's 1533-position model. The record is from RNAcentral.
UACGGGGGGAGCAAGCGUUGUUCGGAUUUACUGGGCGUAAAGGGCGCGUAGGCGGUAGCACAAGUCAGUUGUGAAAUCUCCGGGCUUAACUCGGAAAGGUCAACUGAUACUGUGCGACUAGAGUGCAGAAGGGGCAACUGGAAUUCUCGGUGUAGCGGUGAAAUGCGUAGAUAUCGAGAGGAACACCUGUGGCGAAGGCGACUACCUGGCCUGUUUCUUGACGCUGAGGCGCGAAAGCUAGGGGAGCAAACGGG